Molecule: long non-coding RNA, 616 nt
Filed under: Ananas comosus (pineapple)
Lineage: Eukaryota; Viridiplantae; Streptophyta; Magnoliopsida; Poales; Bromeliaceae
Description: long non-coding RNA (ACOM_LNC007273)
Source: RNAcentral
CCGUCAAGAUACCUGUCACACCCCACGACCCGCCAAUUUGGUCAGAUCCGGGCACAUCGAACAGACGCCGGACGGACAGCACCUCCCCUGUCCGCCCAAGGCUAAACAACAACAAUAUCAUGUACAAGAGUUGCUCAGGAAAAACUCAUUCAAUAUACACGAUACAUGAAAGUGUAAGAAGCACCACAAGUGCGAUACAAUUAAGAGCAAGAAUUACAAGUAACAUACAAGUGAAUAAAGAGAGACGGUUCUAGCUAUUAUAUCACAUUCAAUAUUUACAUACUGAUUUACAUUUUGACUGCAUUCUUUUCAUCUACCAAAAUGAAUACAUAUUCUUCUCAUAAUACCAAAUGGCUCUCCAACUAGCACCCUCACCAAUAUACAACACAUAUCACUCAUGUACACGAGAGUACUCUAAUGCAAAAUGGAAGCCGCUAAGUAAUUAGGGUGCUAUGCCCUUACCGCGAUCAACUGCCGGUACGCUCUCGCUAGGCCCUGCAACAAAGUGGGGUGAGAACUAUAUAAAUAUAGUUUCCAGUGGGUUCGGCCGCCGACUCCGCCGAUCUUCCCAUUAGGUCUAAGCAGGUAUAAACAGAUAGAUAGAUAGAUAUGAAAU